AAACCCACACAAAUAUAUAAAACCUUUUUAUUGGCCAUUCAAGUGGAGAGAAGGAAAUGUCCUAACAUGCAAACAAACUGGGUGUUUAUCUUGUAUCCUGUCAGAGGAAACAACA
Molecule: small nucleolar RNA, 115 nt
Organism: Suncus etruscus (white-toothed pygmy shrew)
Lineage: Eukaryota; Metazoa; Chordata; Mammalia; Eulipotyphla; Soricidae
Product: small nucleolar RNA SNORA27
Exons: 1
Source: RefSeq, a predicted model, not a curated record